CUCCCUCGUUAUAGAAACCAGGAGAGGAAAAAAGGAAGCAAAGAAAUGUUACUAUGUGGUGAAGAAUUAACCUUCUUCAAAAUAAGCCCGCCUUUUGUCCUUGGCUUCUGGAACGUAAUCUCUACUGUCUUUCUUAGCCCGAGGGAUGGGGGUCACAGUGGAUUGUCAGUGCAAUUUAAGGUGGGGACUGGCCACUCCCAUGUAGCCAUAGGGUUGGAGCUGAAAGACCAACAAUGUGACUUUGGGUGGAGGCUUUGGGUCACCCAGUAUCGGUGGCCUGGAGACUAAGAUCAACCAUGUGGCCAGUCAAUCAUUUAUGCCCACGAAAUGGAGCUCCAACAAAAACUGAACCCUGAGGCUUAGGUGAGCUCUCUUGGUUGGUGAUUCUCUCUUGGUUGCUGUAUUGUCACACAUGGAUGCCACCGUGUAUCCUUACUUUGUGGGGAAAAGACAACAGGAGCUCUGCAUUUGGAACCCUUCUGGACUCUGCCCUAUGUGUCUCUUUUUGGCUAAGCUUAACCUGUAACCUUUCCUUAUAAUAAACCAUAAAUGUGACUAUAACAGCUUUUGGUGAGUCCCAUGUUUCUAGGGAAUACCAAAUCAAAGAGUGAUUUUGGGAACCCUCUAAAAUUGCAGUUGUCCUGCAUUUAUGGACAGAACCAAUAUACAUCUUACUUGUAUUGAUUAAUGUCCUAUGUCUCCUUGAAAUGUAUAAAACCAAGCUAUAACCCAGCCACUUUGAGCACAUGUUCUCAGGAUCUCCUGAGGGCUGUGUCAUGGGCCAUUGGUCACUUAUAUGUGGCUCAGAAUAAAUCUCUUCAACUAUUUUAUGAAGUUUCACUCUUUUCAUCAAC
Molecule: long non-coding RNA, 854 nt
Filed under: Homo sapiens (human)
Lineage: Eukaryota; Metazoa; Chordata; Mammalia; Primates; Hominidae
Description: HSALNT0188378
Source: RNAcentral